AGAGUUUGAUCAUGGCUCAGAUUGAACGCUGGCGGAAUGCUUUACACAUGCAAGUCGAGCGGCAGCGCGGGGGCAACCCUGGCGGCGAGCGGCGAACGGGUGAGUAAUGCAUCGGAACGUACCCAUUUGUGGGGGAUAACUAUCCGAAAGGAUAGCUAAUACCGCAUAAGUCCUGAGGGAGAAAGCAGGGGAUCGCAAGACCUUGCGCGAAUGGAGCGGCCGAUGCCGGAUUAGCUAGUUGGUGAGGUAAAGGCCCACCAAGGCGACGAUCCGUAGCUGGUCUGAGAGGAUGAUCAGCCACACUGGAACUGAGACACGGUCCAGACUCCUACGGGAGGCAGCAGUGGGGAAUUUUGGACAAUGGGGGCAACCCUGAUCCAGCCAUUCCGCGUGAGUGAAGAAGGCCUUCGGGUUGUAAAGCUCUUUCGGCAGGAACGAAACGGUGGUCACUAAUACUGGCUACUAAUGACGGUACCUGAAGAAGAAGCACCGGCUAACUACGUGCCAGCAGCCGCGGUAAUACGUAGGGUGCGAGCGUUAAUCGGAAUUACUGGGCGUAAAGCGUGCGCAGGCGGCUCUAUAAGACAGAUGUGAAAUCCCCGGGCUUAACCUGGGAACUGCGUUUGUGACUGUAGGGCUUGAGUGUGGCAGA
This 652-nucleotide ribosomal RNA is filed under the name uncultured bacterium. RNAcentral describes it as "bacterial SSU rRNA". It matches the Rfam family "Bacterial small subunit ribosomal RNA", at positions 8 to 655 of the family's 1533-position model. The record is from RNAcentral.